RNAcentral lists this ribosomal RNA (511 nucleotides) under uncultured bacterium. Its description in RNAcentral is "bacterial SSU rRNA". It matches the Rfam family "Bacterial small subunit ribosomal RNA", at positions 1 to 531 of the family's 1533-position model. The record is from RNAcentral.
CAAGAGUUUGAUCCUGGCUCAGGAUGAACGCUGGCGGCGUGCUUAACACAUGCAAGUCGAACGGACAAAGAAGAUUUCGGUUUUCUUUGUUAGUGGCGGACGGGUGAGUAACGCGUGGGCAACCCACCUUAUACAGGGGGAUAACAGUUAGAAAUGACUGAUAAUACCGCAUAAGCGCCCGAGAUCGCAUGAUCUUGAGUGAAAAACUCUGGUGGUAUAAGAUGGGCCCGCGUCUGAUUAGCUAGUUGGUAAGGUAACGGCUUACCAAGGCGACGAUCAGUAGCCGACCUGAGCGGGUGGUCGGCCACAUUGGGACUGAGACACGGCCCAAACUCCUACGGGAGGCAGCAGUGGGGAAUAUCGCACAAUGGGGGAAACCCUGAUGCAGCGACGCCGCGUGACUGAAGAAGUAUUUCGGUAUGUAAAGGUCUAUCAGCAAGGAAGAAGAGAGACGGUACUUGACUAAGAAGCCCCGGCUAACUACGUGCCAGCAGCCGCGGUAAGAUUCCGG